UACAGAGGUGGCAAGCGUUGCUCGGUAUCACUGGGCUUAAAGGGCGCGUAGGCGGUGCGGUGCGGUUUCGGUGAAAUCCCUCGGCCCAACCGAGGAACAGCCGGGGCUACGGCCGCGCUAGACGGCAUCAGGGGACAGUGGAACUCCCGGUGGAGCGGUGAAAUGCGUAGAUAUCGGGAGGAACGCCGGUGGCGAAAGCGACUGUCUGGGGUGCCUGUGACGCUGAGGCGCGAAAGCCAGGGGAGCGAACGGG
This 253-nucleotide ribosomal RNA is filed under the name uncultured bacterium. RNAcentral's name for it is "partial 16S ribosomal RNA". It matches the Rfam family "Bacterial small subunit ribosomal RNA", at positions 524 to 776 of the family's 1533-position model. The record is from RNAcentral.